Molecule: ribosomal RNA, 1490 nt
Filed under: Triticum aestivum (bread wheat)
Lineage: Eukaryota; Viridiplantae; Streptophyta; Magnoliopsida; Poales; Poaceae
Description: partial small subunit ribosomal RNA
Source: RNAcentral
AUUUGGGCCGGCCUUUUUAUCUCUUCGUUGUUUCUCUCCUUCCUCGCGUUUUCCUCAGACUCCACAGGGGAAGAGAACCCAGCGACUGUUUCUACUCCCCUUCCUCGUUCGUGUGGCAGAUCUCGCGUUCAUCUGCUUCUUCCUACCGGGAUCCUACUCCGGCAAGAGCACCAUCGCCCUCGUAAGCAGAUGGUGUGGCGUGUUUUUCCCCAGGAUAGCACUUCAAUUUUGGUCCAGAUUCGGCUCAGAUCCAGUAGACCGUUGUUGUUCUACAGGAAAAAGAUGGUGUGGCGUGUUAUUCCACAAACAAUCAAAUUGUAUCACUCAACAGCAAAUCAACAAGAUAACAUCAAACCUGGUUUAUUUCCUUUUUCCUAUUUUCCAUUGUUCGUGUUUUUCUUCUAUGGAUUUUGUGUCGUAGGAGGCUAUCACCUAUUAAAAGAUUGUCCAGGUAAUGAACUGUCUAGUUAGUCUGUACUUCCCUUGAGAACUACCCAUUGCAGGGAAGCACCUGAGUUAACCAAUCAUGCAUAUUCUUCUUGAAAAUGUUUUUCUAAUAUCUUUAGUUGGCAUUUUCAAAUGACCUAUCUUACUUUUUUAUUUGACAUGUACAACCAUAGGUCUGCUCUGUAUUGAUUCCUUUACAUGGAUUUAUGGGAUGGAAAAAUCAUGAAGGACUAUGAUGCUGUGAAUUUUCCUGAUUUACUGUAAAAAAUGAUAUUUCUUUUCAAGUUUUUCUUUUUAUAUUGUACUAUUGUUAGUAAUGCUCUUGACCCCCACACAUUCUCUUUCCCGGAGACAACCACUCUAUAUAUCGCUCUUGAGAGCUCUGUUUCUCUGCUAUGGAUGUACUAGCCGCUACUAUAACCUGUUUGUUCAGUUAAUUUAACUUGAAGCACCUCAUGUAUGUUUGGCAGCUUAACAUCCACUUCUCUAGUCUGCAAGUUUUGCGAGGUUAAUUAAAUAAUAUCCAGUUGCUUCCCUGAAAAAAAAUACUAGCUUGUUGUUUGUUGAUCUUCAGUAACUAGUUUGUGUAUUUUUUUCUUUUCUACUAUUUUAGGGAAUCAUUCCUCAAAUUUGGCAGAUUGGUGCUGACAAAAUGGCAAAAUUCGACCUGAACAACAUGGACUUUGUGGCACUGGAUGAUGCUUCAACCAGGAAGAGAAAGAGCGCCUUUAGAUGUUUCUAGAAAGGAAAGGAGUAGUCACAAAUAUUUGCUACAUUGAUGUGUAUAUCCAUUUUAGCUGAUCAACAUAUACCUCAGAAAGCAUGUUGUUGUUGACUUCCUAUGACAAACAAAAGUGUUCCCAGUGUGCAAGUGUUCUAAACGAAUGUGUUUUUGUUUUUCUUGCUAUUUUCCUAUGUACCUCACACAACAAUAUCGCGCCAGAAAUAGGGAUUCUGUUCUAGACUUUCUUUUUUUCGCUCUAUUUGGGUACAAUGUUUGAUAACUAUCUAUCUGAACAUGAAUUGACAGUUUAUAUAGCACC